This is a long non-coding RNA of Gossypium raimondii (Peruvian cotton), 318 nucleotides long. RefSeq lists it as uncharacterized. The transcript has 2 exons. NCBI's taxonomy places the organism in Eukaryota, Viridiplantae, Streptophyta, Magnoliopsida, Malvales, Malvaceae. The record is from RefSeq and is a predicted model, not a curated record.
CGGAUUUGGAUCGGGGAAAAACGAAAGCAGUUGAAUAGUCGAUCGUGUCCGUUGAUAUCCGAGUUAAAAACCAAGCUGCAGACUCGGAGAUCGUUAGUGAAGAUCAUCACUCUAUCUACUAUCUCGGUAUUAAAACGUUUAAAUUUUAGCUUAUGGCAUGUAUAGGCUAAAUAAAAUUUUGGGAGUCGUACUUUAAUGUACUGUAUAUAUAUAAUUAAUAGCCAUAUGAAACUAGCUUUUUUUUUUCUUACGGUUUAACUGAACUGAAAUGUUAUGUUUUGUUAUAAAAGGUUAAAGCAAAAUUUAUAAUUAUACUUA